Long non-coding RNA from Thalassophryne amazonica, 161 nucleotides. RefSeq lists it as uncharacterized. The transcript is spliced from 3 exons. The record is from RefSeq and is a predicted model, not a curated record. NCBI's taxonomy places the organism in Eukaryota, Metazoa, Chordata, Actinopteri, Batrachoidiformes, Batrachoididae.
ACUGGACUGUAAACACAGAUGCUGUGUAUAUGAGAGGUCAGAGCUGACUGAGCUUCCUCAGGAGGCUCAGAUCUUUCAAUGUCUGCAGAAAUAUGUUGCAGAUGUUUUUUCACUCGGUGGUCUCCAGCGUUAUCUUCUACGCUAUACGGUCAGGUGUCGGC